Molecule: ribosomal RNA, 482 nt
Filed under: uncultured bacterium
Lineage: Bacteria
Description: partial 16S ribosomal RNA
Rfam family: Bacterial small subunit ribosomal RNA
Source: RNAcentral
GACGAACGCUGGCGGCGUGCUUAACACAUGCAAGUCGAACGAUGAAGAAGAGAGACUCGAACUUGUGUUCAAAUUUCACUUCGGAUUAGUGGCAGACGGGCGAGUAACGCGUGAGCAACCUACCUCUUAAAAAGGGAUAGCCUCGGGAAACCGUGAUUAAUACCAUAUGACACAUUCAUAAGGCAUCUUAAGAAUGUUAAAGCUACGGCGGUAAGAGAUGGGCUCGCGUCCCAUUAGCUAGUUGGUGAGGUAACGGCCCACCAAGGCGACGAUGGGUAACCGGGCUGAGAGGGUGAACGGUCACAGUGGAACUGAGACACGGUCCAAACUCCUACGGGAGGCAGCAGUGGGGAAUAUUGCACAAUGGAGGGAACUCUGAUGCAGCGACGCCGCGUGAGCGAUGAAGGAAUUCGUUUCGUAAAGCUCUGUUCUAUGGGAAGAAAAGGACUGUACCAUAGGAGAAAGCCCCGGCUAAAUACGUG